RNAcentral lists this ribosomal RNA (1976 nucleotides) under human gut metagenome. Its description in RNAcentral is "bacterial LSU rRNA". It matches the Rfam family "Bacterial large subunit ribosomal RNA", at positions 1 to 1999 of the family's 2925-position model. The record is from RNAcentral.
GAAAGUAAGCAAGGGCAGACGGUGGAUGCCUUGGCUCUCGGAGGCGACGAAGGACGUGAUAAGCUGCGAAAAGCCCGGGGGAGGCGCAAAUAGCCGUUGAUCCCGGGAUAUCCGAAUGGGGCAACCCGGCAGGUUGAAGGCCUGUCAUCCCGAAAGGGAGGCGAACGUGGGGAACUGAAACAUCUAAGUACCCAUAGGAGGAGAAAAUAAACAAUGAUUCCGUAAGUAGUGGCGAGCGAACACGGAAGAGCCCAAACCCAUGUCGUCUAGGCGACACGGGGGUUGUAGGACCACGACGUGGCAAGAUAGAGUCAAGUGGAACGCCUUGGAAAAGGCGGUCAUAGAGGGUGAAAACCCCGUACACGACUGACGAUUGAAGCCUAGUGGCAUCCUGAGUAGCGCGGGGCACGAGAAAUCUUGCGUGAAUUAGCGGGGCCCAUCCCGUAAGGCUAAAUACUCCCGAGAGACCGAUAGCGAACCAGUACCGUGAGGGAAAGGUGAAAAGAACCCCGAGCAGGGGAGUGAAAUAGACCCUGAACCCGUCUGCCUACAAGCGGUCGGAGCGUCGUAAUGACGUGACGGCGUGCCUUUUGCAUAAUGAACCUACGAGUUACCUUCCCCGGCAAGGUUAAGUUCUUGAGGAACGGAGCCGAAGCGAAAGCGAGUCUGAACAGGGCGCCAAGUCGGGGGGGGUAGACGCGAAACCGAGUGAUCUACCCUUGGCCAGGUUGAAGGUUGGGUAACACCAACUGGAGGACCGGAUGGGUAAGCGUUGAAAAGCUUUCCAAUGAGCUGAGGGUAGGGGUGAAAGGCUAAUCAAACUCGGAGAUAGCUCGUACUCCCCGAAAUGCAUUUAGGUGCAGCCUCUUUAUAGUAUAUCGUGAGGUAGAGCGACUGAUUGGAUGCGAGGGCUUCACCGCCUAUCAAGUCCAGAUAAACUCCGAAUGCGCGAUAUAUAUUUACAGGGAGUGAGGGCGCGGGUGCUAAGGUCCGUGUCCGAGAGGAGAAGAAUCCAGACCACCGGCUAAGGCCCCCAAAUGAUCGUUAAGUUGAACUAACGAGGUCGGAUCGCAGAGACAGCUAGGAUGUUGGCUUGGAAGCAGCCAUUCAUUUAAAGAGUGCGUAACAGCUCACUAGUCGAGCGAUCUGGCGUGGAUAAUAAUCGGGCAUAAACGAUCUGCCGAAGCCGUGGAUGUCGCAAGACAUGGUAGGGGAGCAUUCCAUGCGGCGUCGAAGAUGAGGGAUGACCCUUGUUGGAGCGCAUGGAAAAGCAAAUGUAGGUAUGAGUAACGAUAAGGGGGGCGAGAAACCCCCCCGCCGAAAGACCAAGGUUUCCUGAUCAACGCUAAUCGGAUCAGGGUGAGUCGGGACCUAAGGCAAAGCCGAACGGCGCCGCCGAUGGAAGAAUGGGUUAAUAUUCCCAUACUGCCUCAUGGAGUGACGUGGAGACGGAGAAGUGACAGUCCUGCCGGCUGACGGAAUAGCCGGUUGAAGGGUGUAGAUAUUGAUUCCCGUAGGCAAAUCCGCGGGGAGAGUCGAACCUGAGAGUAUACGGAGCGCUUGCGCAACGUAAUAUGGACGUAACCAUGCUCCCGAGAAAAUCCGCUAAACUUAUCCAUGCGGCACCCGUACCGUAAACGGACACACGUGGUCGGGUUGAGAAUACUGAGGCGCUCGAGUGAUUCACGGUUAAGGAACUAGGCAAAUUGACCCUGUAACUUCGGGAUAAAGGGUCCUCGUCGUAAGGCGAGGCGCAGAGAAUAGGUCCAGGCAACUGUUUAACAAAAACACAUGGCUGUGCUAAAUGGAAACAUGAUGUAUACAGCCUGACACCUGCCCGGUGCCGGAAGGUUAAGAGGAGAUGUCAUCCGCGAGGAGAAGCGUUGAAUUGAAGCCCCGGUAAACGGCGGCCGUAACUAUAACGGUCCUAAGGUAGCGAAAUUCCUUGUCGGGUAAGUUCCGACCUGCACGAAUGG